This 125-nucleotide small RNA is filed under the name Marmota monax (woodchuck). The record is from RNAcentral. Lineage: Eukaryota; Metazoa; Chordata; Mammalia; Rodentia; Sciuridae.
GCCAGUCAUGGUGGUGCAUGCCUGUAAUCCCAACCGCUAUGGAGGCUGAGGCAGGAGGUUCUCAAGUUCAAAGCCAACCUCCACAAAAGUGAGGUGCUAAGCAACUCAGUGAGACCCUGUCUCUA